RNAcentral lists this long non-coding RNA (462 nucleotides) under Jatropha curcas. RNAcentral's name for it is "long non-coding RNA (JCUR_LNC000723)". The record is from RNAcentral. Lineage: Eukaryota; Viridiplantae; Streptophyta; Magnoliopsida; Malpighiales; Euphorbiaceae.
AGCCAAACUGCACAUGUGGACAGCUGAAAUUUAUUGUCGGAAAGUUGAGUCUUACGAUAUCAUUUAUGUUUUGUUGAGUAGGCACCAAUCAACAUGCCAAGUCGGAUACCAUGUGGAUUAAAAAAAAUCCAAAACAUGAAAAGACCUAAGUACCCUCCUAUUCUCUCCAUAUUCCAAACACCUAAUCACUAAUUGAUCGGAAAAAAUUCCAUAGAAAUAGAAAGGAAGACAUAAGCAACAACCAGAAGCAAAGACUUGAAGCAUUCCAUUUUUUUCAAUGGCAUGUUCAACAAAUCCACUCACUUCAAGCAUCCCUAAACCUACCUUUGAGUAUGGCUUUUUGAGACUAUAGCUACCUCAAAAUUCUCAAUCAUCAUUCCUCCUGCUGUCCCCUACUCCCCUGCCACUAUUGAUAGAAUAAAGAAUGUAUGUAAGAAAGAAAUGAAUAAACUUGCUUAUUGU